RNAcentral lists this ribosomal RNA (537 nucleotides) under uncultured Pseudomonadota bacterium. RNAcentral's name for it is "bacterial SSU rRNA". It matches the Rfam family "Bacterial small subunit ribosomal RNA", at positions 8 to 522 of the family's 1533-position model. The record is from RNAcentral. Lineage: Bacteria; Pseudomonadati; Pseudomonadota.
AGAGUUUGAUCAUGGCUCAGAACGAACGCUGGCGGCGUGCCUAACACAUGCAAGUCGAACGAGAAAGGGGCUUCGGCUCCGAGUAAAGUGGCGCACGGGUGAGUAACACGUAGGUAACCUGCCUCUAAGUUUGGGAUAACCUGUCGAAAGACGAGCUAAUACCAAAUAAGACCACAGUCUCCUUGGAGACAGAGGUCAAAGGUAGCCUCUAUUUAUAAGCUAUCGCUAAGAGAUGGGCCUGCGUACCAUUAGCUAGUUGGUGAGGUAACGGCUCACCAAGGCAAAGAUGGUUAGCUGGUCUGAGAGGAUGAUCAGCCACACUGGAACUGAGACACGGUCCAGACUCCUACGGGAGGCAGCAGUGGGGAAUAUUGCGCAAUGGGCGAAAGCCUGACGCAGCAACGCCGCGUGAGUGAUGAAGGCCUUCGGGUCGUAAAGCUCUGUCGGAGGGAACGAAUGCUCUCAAGGUUAACAGCCUCGGGAGGUGACGGUACCCUCAAGGAAGCACCGGCUAACUCUGUGCCAGCAGCCGCGGUA